Molecule: ribosomal RNA, 560 nt
Filed under: uncultured bacterium
Lineage: Bacteria
Description: bacterial SSU rRNA
Rfam family: Bacterial small subunit ribosomal RNA
Source: RNAcentral
UUCGAUUUUCGCAUUGCACGAAAGGGGAAAGAUUAAUCGGCAAAUGAUCGGCCCGCGUUGGAUUAGCUAGUUGGUGGGGUAAAGGCCUACCAAGGCGACGAUCCAUAGCUGGUCUGAGAGGAUGAUCAGCCACACUGGGACUGAGACACGGCCGAGACUCCUACGGGAGGCAGCAGUGGGGAAUAUUGGACAAUGGGCGCAAGCCUGAUCCAGCCAUGCCGCGUGAGUGAUGAAGGCCCUAGGGUUGUAAAGCUCUUUCACCGGUGAAGAUAAUGACGGUAACCGGAGAAGAAGCCCCGGCUAACUUCGUGCCAGCAGCCGCGGUAAUACGAAGGGGGCUAGCGUUGUUCGGAUUUACUGGGCGUAAAGCGCACGUAGGCGGGCACUAAGUAGAGGGGUUGGGUGAAAUCCCGGGGCUCAACCCCGGAACUGCCUUUGAUACUGUUAGUCUUGAGUAUGGUAGAGGUGAGUGGUAUUCCGAGUGUAGAGGUGAAAUUCGUAGAUAUUCGGAGGAACACCAGUGGCCAAGGCGGCUCACUGGACCAUUACUGACGCUGACG